CCGCCUGUGGCUUAGUGGGUAAUGUUACAGUCUUGGGAUCACGGGAUCCCAGGUUCAAACCCAGCUAGGUGCA
This 73-nucleotide transfer RNA is filed under the name Anguilla anguilla (European eel). RNAcentral describes it as "tRNA-OTHER". Lineage: Eukaryota; Metazoa; Chordata; Actinopteri; Anguilliformes; Anguillidae. The record is from RNAcentral.